This 1332-nucleotide ribosomal RNA is filed under the name uncultured bacterium. RNAcentral's name for it is "bacterial SSU rRNA". It matches the Rfam family "Bacterial small subunit ribosomal RNA", at positions 28 to 1381 of the family's 1533-position model. The record is from RNAcentral.
GACGAACGCUGGCGGCGCGCCUAACACAUGCAAGUCGAACGAGCGAGAGAGAGCUUGCUUUCUCAAGCGAGUGGCGAACGGGUGAGUAACGCGUGAGGAACCUGCCUCAAAGAGGGGGACAACAGUUGGAAACGACUGCUAAUACCGCAUAAGCCCACGGCUCGGCAUCGAGCAGAGGGAAAAGGAGCAAUCCGCUUUGAGAUGGCCUCGCGUCCGAUUAGCUAGUUGGUGAGGUAAUGGCCCACCAAGGCGACGAUCGGUAGCCGGACUGAGAGGUUGAACGGCCACAUUGGGACUGAGACACGGCCCAGACUCCUACGGGAGGCAGCAGUGGGGAAUAUUGCACAAUGGGGGAAACCCUGAUGCAGCGACGCCGCGUGGAGGAAGAAGGUCUUCGGAUUGUAAACUCCUGUUGUUGAGGAAGAUAAUGACGGUACUCAACAAGGAAGUGACGGCUAACUACGUGCCAGCAGCCGCGGUAAAACGUAGGUCACAAGCGUUGUCCGGAAUUACUGGGUGUAAAGGGAGCGCAGGCGGGAAGACAAGUUGGAAGUGAAAUCCAUGGGCUCAACCCAUGAACUGCUUUCAAAACUGUUUUUCUUGAGUAGUGCAGAGGUAGGCGGAAUUCCCGGUGUAGCGGUGGAAUGCGUAGAUAUCGGGAGGAACACCAGUGGCGAAGGCGGCCUACUGGGCACCAACUGACGCUGAGGCUCGAAAGUGUGGGUAGCAAACAGGAUUAGAUACCCUGGUAGUCCACACUGUAAACGAUGAUUACUAGGUGUUGGAGGAUUGACCCCUUCAGUGCCGCAGUUAACACAAUAAGUAAUCCACCUGGGGAGUACGACCGCAAGGUUGAAACUCAAAGGAAUUGACGGGGGCCCGCACAAGCAGUGGAGUAUGUGGUUUAAUUCGACGCAACGCGAAGAACCUUACCAAGUCUUGACAUCCCUUGACGAUGCUGGAAACAGUAUUUCUCUUCGGAGCAAGGAGACAGGUGGUGCAUGGUUGUCGUCAGCUCGUGUCGUGGGAUGUUGGGUUAAGUCCCGCAACGAGCGCAACCCUUAUGGUCAGUUACUACGCAAGAGGACUCUGGCCAGACUGCCGUUGACAAAACGGAGAAAGGUGGGGAUGACGUCAAAUCAUCAUGCCCUUUAUGACUUGGGCUACACACGUACUACAAUGGCGUUAAACAAAGAGAAGCAAGACCGCGAGGUGGAGCAAAACUCAGAAACAACGUCCCAGUUCGGACUGCAGGCUGCAACUCGCCUGCACGAAGUCGGAAUUGCUAGUAAUCGCAGAUCAGCAUGCUGCGGUGAAUACGUUCCCGGGCCU